GUGGAACAAUCGCUGGCUGCAAACGAUUAAGCAAGGGGGUGGUUAAAGCUGAUGCCCAAGUGAGCAGCUUAGUGAUUGGACCCCUGUGCAAGCUGUGUUGUGUGCAAGACUUGGCAUGAUGGGGUUGAAGGCAGAAGAGCCAGACUACCAGAAGCAAUUUGAAGCAGCUGUCCGUGUCAUCCAGAGUUUGCCCAAGAAUGGUUCCUACCGCCCAUCGUAUGAAGAAAUGCUACGCUUUUACAGUUACUACAAGCAAGCAGUGGUGGGCCAGUGUCAGACUCCCAGGCCAGGGUUUUGGGAUCCCAUUGGCAGGUAUAAAUGGGAUGCAUGGAAUAGCUUGGGAAAGAUGACCAAAAAGGAAGCCAUGGCUGCUUAUAUUGCAGAGAUGAAGAAGGCAGCCCAGAAGGUCAUCAACACCGUGCCCAUGGAUGAAUCCUCGGAGGACAUGUUUGUAUACUUCAAACCACUCUAUGAAGUGAUUCCUGAUAUGCCCAGACCCCCUGAGUCCUUCUUCAAGAAUAAAACAGGUAUGCCCAUCAGCAGCAAAGAGCCAGUCCACAACAUUACUGAGAACAGCCAAAUGACUGGUGAUACAGAGAGUGAGAUAUUCUGUGAUAGCCUGGAACAGGUGGCUCCUGAUCAGGCCAGGAGGGUAUCAGCCAAGCAAAUCGUUCCUCUGAGCAAACCUCACAGCAUUCAGGCUGGUGAGCAAAGUGGGCACAAGCCUUCAGUUCAUGCACUGUGUACAGCCAGGGAAGGAGAGCUGAACAAAGCUGGUACCACAGAUGUGAGACAGGCAUUGUGCCUUAAAAAACUGAGCUCCACAAGAGAAGAGACAGACCCACAGACUAGCCCCGAUGAGACAGUUCUGAGCACCAACAGUCCUGAAGCUGUCAGUGAGAACCUGGCAGAUGUCUUGAUCCAACAGGAAGUGAAUCUGCAGGUGACAAGCACCAUUCAGGCUUUGCAGCAGGAUGUGAAGGAAGUGAUGGAGAGACUCAGCUACCUGGAAUCAUGGGCAGCCUUGCAGCAUUCAGCAGCUGUUUUUCUUCAUGCUGGCCAAGCCCUUGGUUUCUACCAGCAUCCCAACAGAGACUCCAAUCACCAGCCAAAGCAACCCAGCUGCCGGGGCUAACGAGAAUGGAGGACACACAGAACCGCCUUUCCCAGCAGCAAGUCCAGCCCAUCGUAUUUUGCCACCUCCAGCAAGGCAGGAGUGCCGCUGCUGCUGCCGCCACUGCCCACGUGCUCAGUUCCCAGCUUGCCUGCUCACCUGUCCAGCUGACUGGCUGCUCACCCCUGCCUGUGCCCCAGCUGCAGGGCUCCUGCACCUGGGGCAGCCAACCUCUCACUUGCCUCAUGGCACUUGGGCAGAGCUUGCAGAAGCUCCUGCAAAUGUUAGGCAAGUGCACAGUCCAGUGCAAAGGGCAAGUGAAGCCUAGCCAUCUGCUCCUUGCACGAGCUCCCAUAAGCAUCAGUUCUGCAAGGGCUGGAUGAGUGUACCCCCCACCACCACCCAGAAAUCCCCACAUCCUUGCCAAGGAGCCAGUGGGUGAGGAGGUAGCACUGGGGAGUGGAAGCCUGGAACAGAGGGAACCCAAGCCUCUGCUAGUCAGAUAGGUGACCUCUGUGAGCUGAAAUUGUCCACAGCCAUGAUUAUAUAAAAAAGGGUUUCACCAGUUUGUAGGAGGAGAACAAGAAAGCAGGUAAAGCAGUGUUUUGAUAGCUGGCACAUACUUUUCUCCUAGAUUCUGGGUGAAGGCACACUUUACCCCAUAAUAGAUCAAGGAUGAACUAUUUCUGGGCUUGCAGAUGUUUUGGCUUAUAAUUCUCAUGAUCCCUCACCAUUGGCUAUGCUGGGAAGGGUUGGUGGAGUUUCUCCUCCCCUCCCAGCCAAGCCACCUGGAGGAUCACAGGUUGCCCUGCCCAGCUCUAUAAGCACUAAGGAAAAGGUGUGAGAAGGGGCAGGAGGACAUUAAGAAGUUUUUUUUUUUUUUAAUAAGCAAGUGCAAAACAAGACUAGUGGAAAAAUAGAAACAAAAUUAAAUAGUGCACUUAGUGAAUAGGUUGACAAUCUCACAAGAUGACCUUUUAACAAGGAUAAUAAACCUGUGUUGGGGAGAAAGGUGUGUAUUUGAUUAGUGUUGAGUUGUAAAUCUUUGAGCAAACAACCAAGAAUGCAAUUCUUACAUAUUUAAAAUGUUUACAUAAUUCAAUAAUAUGCAUCUUCAAAAGAGCUUUUUAAAAUAAAGUACAAGAUGGAAUAGUGCACAGGCUUCUAGCCUGCAUAAAUACUUAUCAUGAUGCUGCUGUCUUUCAGGACCAUAGAGAAAUGCUGAAUCCUAGCCCACUGACCAUACUGCAUGAUGGAAAGGAACUGCCCAGAUGGCCUGUACACCUGUCUCCUCCUACCUGGUUUUUCUUGCUCACAUGGCCUUUCAUUGCCCAGUUGCUCCUUUGGUGUUUUCAG
Varanus komodoensis (Komodo dragon) is the source of this 2470-nucleotide RNA transcript. It is a transcript of the gene named acyl-CoA binding domain containing 4, with no coding region annotated. The transcript has 10 exons. Lineage: Eukaryota; Metazoa; Chordata; Lepidosauria; Squamata; Varanidae. The record is from RefSeq and is a predicted model, not a curated record.